Long non-coding RNA from Gopherus evgoodei (Goodes thornscrub tortoise), 2839 nucleotides. RefSeq lists it as uncharacterized. The record is from RefSeq and is a predicted model, not a curated record. Lineage: Eukaryota; Metazoa; Chordata; Testudines; Testudinidae. The transcript has 3 exons.
AAUCAAUACUCAGCACCUUUGAAGAUCAAGCCAUAACGAAUUACAUAUUGCACCACUGCAGAGUUCUUUGCCUUACACUUUUAACCAUAUACAAACACAUUUAUAGUUUAUACGCAAAUAUACUAGCAAAGAUAAAGUGACAACAAUGAGUUUAGGUUUAGUGUUUAAAAACAAAUCCAAUUGCCAGUCCCUCAGCAGACUUCCAUCAUUUUAUUAUUUAAAUAGAUUUUUCUUUAAUUUGGACAUAGAUUUUUCUCCUGUAACACUGCAUCAUUUUGAUACUGCCUGAGACUGAGAGAACAAAACUGAGGAGAGAAAAGAGGAAAACCGCCUAAUCUGGUUUUACUAGCCAAGCUAAGUGAAAUGUAAAAGGUAAUAGCAUAAAUAGUUAAGCAAGAAGUGCUGGAUUAUUUACCUUUUUCAUUUGUACUAAGUUGUUAGUAACUGGACUUGAAAUAAUUUUAACUUGCACAGCAAAUUACACUUAAUCUUUGGCCAGAAAGAGCAGUGUGUGUCAGCACAGCAUUUCUGAAUGGACAUCACAACUAGCAGCUAGAUUGACAGUGACACAGACCCAUCAGGUACAGGGUCUCUUCCAAGAAAUAACAAGAAACAAAGCCCGGAGUUGACCAAAUCUCCUGGGGAGCAAUUACUACUUAACAAGCUUCCUGAGCUUGUUUAUGUUCCCUCCUAGCUAAGGUCUUUCUGACCACAGGGUAAUAAUUUGAUAAUAAGAGAUCCUGAUUAAAUUAAGAGGCCAUUUGCUAGAGCAUAAUGUCUCAGUAGGUAAGAGAUUUGAUUUGCAGUAGAUGCUCUUGCUUCUCAGUGCUGCAUAUAUGUCUGGUUGUUUAAAAGCCAGACCAAAUAACCUUUACCUUUUAAAUAGGAUUAUUAGUAACCAAUUCACUGAGACUAGACUGACAUCUUGACAUUUUUUCUGUCACUUAAAAAAACCCAAACAGUCACUCUCCCGGAAGCAGAGAUUCUGUGGUGUGGAUAUGUGACAUAUAGUAUGUACAGAUCUGGACUGGUGAUAGUGCAGAGGUAAGCCUACCUUCAUCCAUCACGUUCAAUAACAGGGCCUAACUAGAUCUACAGGCAUCCAUCUGGUCGUGUCCUGUUGAUCUUAAGAGAUUCCCCAGUUCCACUCCAGUAUCAUCCUCCUCCUUCUUUAAUGGUCCCUCUGUAAGAACAAGGCUGUUAAGAGCAGAAAAUUAUACAAAAAGCAGAAUAUGCACAAUAAAGUCUCCAGAAACAUAGGAAACUGUCUGGUGAAACAAGAGGAAAGAGAUGAGCCUAAGAUCUGAUGUAGAAAAAAUAAAGGAUAUUUACAAAAACACAGUGUUAGAUGACAUAACAGGGAGACGGGGAGUUUAACCCAUUUAAAAAUAUACAAUAUAUUGUUCACAUCAAAAAUCUCCCUAGGAUUUAUGGCAAUGCCAAUGGUUGGAUUGUUCUGUACUGUUAUGCUGUCAGCACAGAGAAAGCAAAGGGUCUAUGUCAUAUAUAAUAAUUGGUCUCUGACCACACCUAGUCCAUUAGUACUGGUGCAGGCUGUAAAUACAACCUCAUUACUUCUGACUCUUCGGAUUAGCAGACGAGAAGGGGAUCAAACUACAGCACCAACCUUUUAGAAGCCAGAAAUUCAAGAGAAAGCUGCAGAACAAAAGCAGAUAAAACCAGAAACUUUAAGAAGUAAAUACAGUCAUCUAGCCCACGUGGUAGGAUGGAAUUCAGUUUGCUCCAACUGGAGGUAUACCAUUUGGAAGAAAAAUGAUCCUUUUUGAUCAGGAGACUUUAGUGGGGAGCAGAGUGUGAGACAACCACAGAAAUCCCAUCUGGCUUGUGGUGCUUGGACGAACCAUGCAGGAGUCCUUUGCUGUCCACUUCCUGAAAGUGCUGAAGGAGCUCCUGGCCUUUGUGCUGUUCAGUUACACGGUGCUGAUUGGGGCACUGCUCCUGGCUGGCUGGACAACUUAUUUUUUGGUGCUUAAGUGACAGUCCCCCUCUAACUUCUCUGGCCACAGACUAGUCCAGAAUGUGCAGCAGUAACCACCAAGUACCCUGCAACUGGCGUCUGCUCAACAAAUAGUAUGUCAGUUCCUUUUGGCUCCACAAACUUUGCAAGUCUUUGUUUUAUUAUUGGCUAAAUACAAUCUUAUUUUCUUAUGUAAAUCAAAAAAAUUAUUAAAAAACACCUUGAUGACCCCCAGUGGCUCUUCCAGACUCAAUCUUUGGGAUCAACUCUGCCCCAUGCCUGAAGGAUCAGAAAGAUUGCUGCCAAUUUUGUCUUCUGAUCAAUCUGCUCCUCUUUGACAUCACUCCUGAGAAUAGCAGCUUGUUGAGGGUGGCAAUGAAAGGGAGGGAGAAAGCCCAGAAGUGGUGCAGAACCAUUAGAGUGUGAGCUGGCUUCUGAGCAAUCAAGUCCAGACAUGUCUGCUUCAAUCAGCCUUGUUAUGGAGAUGAAGGCAGAGAGAUGCUUAACUUUUUAUUUCUGAUCCUCUUAUUCAGUUCUGGACGUGCUUCCCUCAAAUCAGCAUAACCCACAUGUCUCCUCUCUUUUUGUUUCCACAUUUUUAUCUGAUGGUGUCCAGUUUGGGGUUAAGUUUCCCAGCCUUUCCCACCAGACUGUGAUAUUAGCAUAUUUGGAAGAGUUGAAACCAGCAAGGCAAGAGUUUUACUGGAACCAUGCUGUACAAGAAAGCACUCAAAAUAUCCUGUGCAACUAACCUGUUCCCAGGAGAGAGGGAAUAAAAUGAUCUGCUAGGAUUUUCUGUAAUUUCUAUAAAAGCAGCAAAGAAUCCUGUGGCACCUUAUAGACUAACAGACGUUUUGGAGC